This 451-nucleotide ribosomal RNA is filed under the name uncultured bacterium. RNAcentral's name for it is "bacterial SSU rRNA". It matches the Rfam family "Bacterial small subunit ribosomal RNA", at positions 28 to 507 of the family's 1533-position model. The record is from RNAcentral.
GAUAAACGCUGGCGGCGUGCUUAAUGCAUGCAAGUCGAACGGGAGAUGGAGCUUCGGCUUCAUGUUCAGUGGCGGACGGGUGAGUAACGCGUAGGUAACCUACCCCCGAGUGGGGGAUAACCCCGAGAAAUUGGGGCUAAUACCGCAUGAAGUGGGAGACCACCAAAGCAUUUAGCGCUUGGGGAGGGGCUUACGUCCGAUUAGCUAGUUGGCAGGGUAAAGGCCUACCAAGGCGAAGAUCGGUAGCUGAUCUGAGAGGAUGGUCAGCCACACUGGGACUGAGACACGGCCCAGACUCCUACGGGAGGCAGCAGCAGGGGAUAUUGCGCAAUGGGCGAAAGCCUGACGCAGCAACGCCGCGUGGGGGAAGAAGGCCUUCGGGUCGUAAACCCCUUUUCUCGGGGAAGAAGCAGUGACGGUACCCGAGGAAUAAGCCUCGGCCAACUACGUG